AGACAAUGCGAAAUCAUGGUUGAUCCAUGGUCGUGACCAAGGCCGUCGGAGUGGUCAAGUCAGGACUGGUCAAUCCAUCAUAGAAAGAUUUGAUGAAUGUUAAGGUGGUGCUUCCUCUAAACCCUUUAUGGAAGCUUCUGUGAAGAUGCUAGUGUGUGUGGUCUUGAUAAGUGCGAAACACUAGGCGAGGAAGAUGGAAAGUUGGAUGAUGAUUCUUAUUAGGAUCCUAGGCAGUAUCACAAAGAAGAGCAAAUCGAGGAUAGUUGAAUAUAACAUCAUUUGAGGUAAAAAGUAAGGAGAC
This 301-nucleotide long non-coding RNA is filed under the name Amborella trichopoda. Its description in RNAcentral is "long non-coding RNA (ATRI_LNC003244)". The record is from RNAcentral. Lineage: Eukaryota; Viridiplantae; Streptophyta; Magnoliopsida; Amborellales; Amborellaceae.